This 569-nucleotide ribosomal RNA is filed under the name Escherichia coli. RNAcentral describes it as "bacterial SSU rRNA". It matches the Rfam family "Bacterial small subunit ribosomal RNA", at positions 976 to 1533 of the family's 1533-position model. The record is from RNAcentral. Lineage: Bacteria; Pseudomonadati; Pseudomonadota; Gammaproteobacteria; Enterobacterales; Enterobacteriaceae.
UGGUCUUGACAUCCACGGAAGUUUUCAGAGAUGAGAAUGUGCCUUCGGGAACCGUGAGACAGGUGCUGCAUGGCUGUCGUCAGCUCGUGUUGUGAAAUGUUGGGUUAAGUCCCGCAACGAGCGCAACCCUUAUCCUUUGUUGCCAGCGGUCCGGCCGGGAACUCAAAGGAGACUGCCAGUGAUAAACUGGAGGAAGGUGGGGAUGACGUCAAGUCAUCAUGGCCCUUACGACCAGGGCUACACACGUGCUACAAUGGCGCAUACAAAGAGAAGCGACCUCGCGAGAGCAAGCGGAUCUCAUAAAGUGCGUCGUAGUCCGGAUUGGAGUCUGCAACUCGACUCCAUGAAGUCGGAAUCGCUAGUAAUCGUGGAUCAGAAUGCCACGGUGAAUACGUUCCCGGGCCUUGUACACACCGCCCGUCACACCAUGGGAGUGGGUUGCAAAAGAAGUAGGUAGCUUAACCUUCGGGAGGGCGCUUACCACUUUGUGAUUCAUGACUGGGGUGAAGUCGUAACAAGGUAACCGUAGGGGAACCUGCGGUUGGAUCACCUCCUUACCUUAAAGAAGC